CUUAUAUAUGGCUAUGUGUCAAGUGUUACUUCAUUUUGUGACCUCUUGAGGAUGCGUCCAGCUCUGAGAUUCUGCGACACUUGAGGUAUAUCUGAAAUUUGCAGGUAAGAGAGAGCCGUUAAAGUUUUCUGAGGAGGACAGCGACCUGAACUAAGUUGUGUUUUAUAAACACUGUCCUGGCAGCAAUGUAAAGGAUGAGUCAAGGGAAGAAGUCGAGGGCAGAGAAACCAGGUCAGGGGGCCUCAGCUGGCACAUAAGUAGAAACAGAUGUCGAAAAGGGUAAGGAGGACACUGGUUUGUGAAGCCAGGAAGAUGUAGAUUUAAAUCCUGGUACUUCCAUUCACUCGCUAUGUGGGCUGUCAAAGAUACUUGAAAUUUCCGAGUCUCAUAGGAUUAUUUUGAAGAGAAAAUGAG
Lagenorhynchus albirostris (white-beaked dolphin) is the source of this 414-nucleotide long non-coding RNA. RefSeq lists it as uncharacterized. The transcript is spliced from 4 exons. Lineage: Eukaryota; Metazoa; Chordata; Mammalia; Artiodactyla; Delphinidae. The record is from RefSeq and is a predicted model, not a curated record.